Molecule: long non-coding RNA, 443 nt
Organism: Drosophila biarmipes
Lineage: Eukaryota; Metazoa; Arthropoda; Insecta; Diptera; Drosophilidae
Exons: 3
Source: RefSeq, a predicted model, not a curated record
UACAUUUCUCUCUUGUUAUUAUCAUCACCAGCCAACCGUCUUUAUUCAUACAUAUAUUCGUAUGUGCACAGGCUAGUUUUCUUCACAGUUUAUUCGAGGCAACUAUUAACGUCAUACAUACAUGUUUAGAUAUAAACGUAUCAACAAUUUCGUACUUUUGAAAGCAUUUGCAUGCAAAAGCAGAAGCGAUUUAAUGGGCCCAUAAGAAGCUCAACACACACAAAAUUGCGUCAAAAUCGGUGAAGCGCUCUGUAGCUGUACGAAACCAAAGAUUUCAAAGCGUUAUGGAUGGGAUAGGAGUGGAAGGGUGAGGAAAGAUACAAUCACCAAGUACAAUACACAAUCGAGAUCCAGCAUAAAAAGUUGCGAAUAUAAAACAAAAGUGUCACUUGCCGAGGGUCUGGAGGUACCAGGCGAUGUCCGAGGUUGAGCUUGCAUUGUUA